CUCAAGUUCCAUUUCUGUGCCUAACAAACUUUGAUCAUAUAUCUUAUUUAAUUUUAUUUAUAAUUAGUACUUUUAUUGUUAUAAGAUGAUAACACAUAAAUAGUACUUUAUGCGAAACUUAUGUUUUUAACUUUUUUUAAAAAUAUUUUAAAUAAGACAAACAAUUAAAGUUAGACACGGAAAAUCAUGGCCAUCCUCCUU
Oryza sativa Japonica Group (Japanese rice) is the source of this 201-nucleotide microRNA precursor. It matches the Rfam family "MIR812 microRNA precursor family". Lineage: Eukaryota; Viridiplantae; Streptophyta; Magnoliopsida; Poales; Poaceae. The record is from Rfam.